Candidatus Rokubacteria bacterium 13_2_20CM_70_12 is the source of this 81-nucleotide non-coding RNA. The record is from Rfam. NCBI's taxonomy places the organism in Bacteria, Candidatus Rokuibacteriota.
CCCGAUACGUGGCACACCCGUCGUGAGACGGGGCCGCAUCGUCACGGGUCAGGCACGGCGCCUGACGGCCGGACUGCCGAA